UAAUUUUGCGCCGUCGAAUCUAAAAAGUUUGGAGCGACUACAUAAAAAUCAUUUAAAUAAUAUUGGCAUG
Molecule: non-coding RNA, 70 nt
Filed under: unclassified sequences
Description: S15-Flavobacteria ribosomal protein leader
Rfam family: S15-Flavobacteria ribosomal protein leader
Source: RNAcentral